Molecule: ribosomal RNA, 497 nt
Filed under: uncultured bacterium
Lineage: Bacteria
Description: partial 16S ribosomal RNA
Rfam family: Bacterial small subunit ribosomal RNA
Source: RNAcentral
GAUGAACGCUGGCGGCGUGCCUAAUACAUGCAAGUCGAGCGAACAGACGGGGAGCUUGCUCCUCUGACGUUAGCGGCGGACGGGUGAGUAACACGUGGAUAACCUACCUAUAAGACUGGGAUAACUUCGGGAAACCGGAGCUAAUACCGGAUAAUAUAUUGAACCGCAUGGUUCAAUAGUGAAAGACGGUUUUGCUGUCACUUAUAGAUGGAUCCGCGCCGCAUUAGCUAGUUGGUAAGGUAACGGCUUACCAAGGCAACGAUGCGUAGCCGACCUGAGAGGGUGAUCGGCCACACUGGAACUGAGACACGGUCCAGACUCCUACGGGAGGCAGCAGUAGGGAAUCUUCCGCAAUGGGCGAAAGCCUGACGGAGCAACGCCGCGUGAGUGAUGAAGGUCUUCGGAUCGUAAAACUCUGUUAUUAGGGAAGAACAAAUGUGUAAGUAACUAUGCACGUCUUGACGGUACCUAAUCAGAAAGCCACGGCUAACUACGCG